This 452-nucleotide long non-coding RNA is filed under the name Mytilus galloprovincialis (Mediterranean mussel). The record is from RNAcentral. Lineage: Eukaryota; Metazoa; Mollusca; Bivalvia; Mytilida; Mytilidae.
GUAUUAAACAAAGUCGGAUAUAAACAGGAGUCAGAAAACUUUCUAAACUGAAGUUCAAAAAUAGAGUAAUUUCAAAGGUAAAAUGAAAUUGAAGUGUUCUCAGAGUUAGUAUUAAAAGUAAAGUAAAUUUGCUUCGCGUUGUGUUUUUAAAGUAGUGAGAUUUGCACCAUAAAGGGGUGACUAACUGUGGCGAACUGCACCGAAGUGGUAGCUAACUCUAAACUCAAGUGAACUGAUACAGUCCGGCGAGUAUUUGGAGGCCUGUGCAAGGCCGACUCCCACUGAAUAUCAAAUGAUAUUCUAAACUUGUCAUUAAACAGGGUAACUUUAACUGAAACGGUACUGAAGAAAAGUUGAAUAAAUAAAUAUUCAUAAAACAUUAUAAAAACAUCGAAAGUUAAAUACUAAAACAGUUAAAUUAACAAUCCUUACUUUUAUCUUACUGUGUUUAA